Molecule: ribosomal RNA, 383 nt
Filed under: uncultured eukaryote
Lineage: Eukaryota
Description: partial 18S ribosomal RNA
Rfam family: Eukaryotic small subunit ribosomal RNA
Source: RNAcentral
CAAUAGCGUAUAUUAAAGUUGUUGCAGUUAAAAAGCUCGUAGUUGGAUUUCUGGUGGGAGCGAUCGGUCUGGCGCUUAGCGCGAGUACUUGCAUCGUCUCCGGCCAUCCUUGGGGAGAGUCUGUCUGGCAUUAGGUUGUCGGGCAGAGGAUCCUCAUCGUUUACUUGGAAAAAAUUAGAGUGUUCAAAGCAGGCUUAUGCCGUUGAAUAUAUUAGCAUGGAAUAAUAAGAUAGGACUUUGGUACUAUUUUGUUGGUUUGCGCACCAAAGUAAUGAUUAAUAGGGACAGUUGGGGGUAUUCGUAUUCCGUUGUCAGAGGUGAAAUUCUUGGAUUUACGGAAGACGAACUACUGCGAAAGCAUUUACCAAGGAUGUUUUCAUUAA